This is an RNA transcript of Ostrinia nubilalis (European corn borer), 1956 nucleotides long. RefSeq lists it as uncharacterized. NCBI's taxonomy places the organism in Eukaryota, Metazoa, Arthropoda, Insecta, Lepidoptera, Crambidae. The transcript is spliced from 3 exons. The record is from RefSeq and is a predicted model, not a curated record.
ACAAUAAGACGACAAGACCAAGAUGUUUCAACUGUGGAGGAAGCAAUCAUAUUUCGGCUCAAUGUUUUCACAAGGAAAAAGGAGUUAAGUGUUUCCGGUGUAAUGAGUUUGGACACAGAUCUAGUGAAUGUUCAAAACCUGCAAAUCAUCAACAAGUGACCAGUGAAAAUUCCAAAUGGCAGUCAGACAAUCGUCAGCAACGUCAUGCUAGUCCGAAACGAGCGAUGUUCACGGAAACACCCGAACGAUACAAUGUUGCCAACAUGACGCAAUCAACAACUGACUGGAGAUCGAGACCGAACGUAGAACGAAACGCAGAACUGACAGAUGACACUUCUGCCAACUUGAUGGUAUCGGACGUAAACAACAAAAGUGUGAAAACAUCGAGGCCGCUAAAAGAAGUUCAAUUUGUUGACAACAACGCGAUAACUACGUCGGGUCUUAUUGAUACGGGCAGCGAGGUGAACCUUAUGACGGAAGACGUGUACAAAACUAUCGGCUCCCCAAAAUACGACGACGGAAGAUGUUUGACGUUGAGUGGACUCGGACGGACCGAGGUUGUCCCGUUGGGAAAAGUGAUUCUGUCAAUGAAGAUAGACAAUGACUGUUUCAAAAAUGUGUUAUUUUAUGUAGUUAAUAAUAGUUGUUUGCCAUAUAGUGUCAUUUUAGGUCAGGAAUUUUUACAAAGAGUGUGGUUGGUUAUGAAAGACGGAUGUGUGAAAUUAUUACCGAAAGACGAUGAAUGGAUGAAGCAAAUUGAUGUGUUUACGUGUGAAUUGGGUGAUGUUCCAGGUUUUGUGGGUGACAGUCAAUUUAAGGAACAGUUGACUGAAUUAGUGGAAACUUACCAACCACUACAGGUGAAGGAGGCUCCCAUUGAACUCAAAAUAGUGCUUAAAGACGACAUCCCUGUUGCACAGCGCCCAAGACGAGUGUCUCUCAGAGAACAGCAGGUAGUGGAGGAUCAAGUUGAAGAAUGGCUGGCUAAGAACAUCAUUCGGCGCAAAAUAAAGAGCAGGCUUUGGAAAGAUUGAAGGAAGUGCUCAAAGUAGCUUCCGAGUACGGUCUGAAGUUCAAAUGGAGUAAAGCCAAGCUGAUGUGUCGUGAAGUUGAGUAUCUGGGGCACAUGAUCAGAGAUGGUUAGGUACGCCCGUCUCCAGAUAAGGUAGAUGCUGUGGUAAAGUAUCCUGAACCUAGCACACUUAAGCAGCUUCACAGUUUCAUAGGAUUAACAUCCUACUUUCGGAAAUACAUAGAAAACUAUGCAAUAAUUGCAAAGCCGUUGACAGAUUUGUUGAAGAAGAAUAGUAACUUCACAUUUGAUGAUGAACAUAGGAGAGCAUUUACUAUGUUGAAGGAGAAAAUGAACCGAUGGCGUGGUAUAAGCAUGUGAGCAGAGUGCAGAGAGCACUUAAUAGUACAUUCCAGCGUAGUAUUGGAACCACCCCGUUUGAAUUGUUGGUUGGAACCAGAAUGAAGAACAAGGAGGACUUUGAGCUCUAUGAUAUAUUGGCACAAGAAUCUCAAUGCUGUUUUAUGCAAGAAAGGGAUGAUCUAAGGAAAUCAGCUAAAGAAUGCAUACUAAAAAUACAAGAAGAAAAUAGGAGAACUUUUAACAGAAAGCGUAAGGAGAGCAUCAAAUAUAAAGCAGGUGAUCUUGUGGUAAUAAAAAGAACACAGUUUGGGGUGGGAAUGAAAUUGAGACCCAAGUUUUUAGGUCCAUAUCAAGUAGUGAAAGCUACAGGUACAGAUCGGUACCAGGUAGAGAAGGUAACCGACUCUACCGAAGGACCCAGAGUAACCACCACCUCAUGUGAUCAUAUGAAGAGAUGGCCAGCAGGUAAGAAAGAUGAUGAAUGAAUGGAUUUAGAGUUCUUAGUUAAGUUAAUAUGAUAUUUUUAAGUUGUGUUUGAAUGGGAAGAAUAAAAGACUAAAGUAGUUUGAUAUUAUUUAUUU